This 490-nucleotide ribosomal RNA is filed under the name uncultured bacterium. RNAcentral describes it as "partial 16S ribosomal RNA". It matches the Rfam family "Bacterial small subunit ribosomal RNA", at positions 30 to 507 of the family's 1533-position model. The record is from RNAcentral.
AUUGAACGCUGGCGGCAGGCCUAACACAUGCGAGUCGAACGGUAACAGGAAGCAGCUUGCUGCUUUGCUGACGAGUGGCGGACGGGUGAGUAAUGUCUGGGAAACUGCCCGAUGGAGGGGGAUAACUACUGGAAACGGUAGCUAAUACCGCAUAACGUCGCAAGACCAAAGAGGGGGACCUUAGGGCCUCUUGCCAUCGGAUGUGCCCAGAUGGGAUUAGCUAGUAGGUGGGGUAACGGCUCACCUAGGCGACGAUCCCUAGCUGGUCUGAGAGGAUGACCAGCCACACUGGAACUGAGACACGGUCCAGACUCCUACGGGAGGCAGCAGUGGGGAAUAUUGCACAAUGGGCGCAAGCCUGAUGCAGCCAUGCCGCGUGUAUGAAGAAGGCCUUCGGGUUGUAAAGUACUUUCAGCGGGGAGGAAGGGAGUAAAGUUAAUACCUUUGCUCAUUGACGUUACCCGAAGAAGAAGCACCGGCUAACUCCGUG